Molecule: transfer RNA, 72 nt
Filed under: Patescibacteria group bacterium
Lineage: Bacteria
Description: tRNA-Arg
Rfam family: tRNA
About the family: Transfer RNA (tRNA) molecules are approximately 80 nucleotides in length. Their secondary structure includes four short double-helical elements and three loops (D, anti-codon, and T loops).
Source: RNAcentral
GCCCUCGUAGUGAAAUGGAUAUCAUAUGUGGCUUCGAACCACAGGUUCCAGGUUCGAGUCCUGGCGAGGGCA